Long non-coding RNA from Mus musculus (house mouse), 7817 nucleotides. RefSeq annotates it as predicted gene, 36409. Lineage: Eukaryota; Metazoa; Chordata; Mammalia; Rodentia; Muridae. The transcript is spliced from 4 exons. The record is from RefSeq and is a predicted model, not a curated record.
GUUGGGUAAAGCUCGGCUCUGCUUGUUAUCAAGAAUAAAAAUGAUCAAAGGAAGUCAGUGGCAGAGACAGACAUGGACUCCGCUGCCCAGCAUCCAAGCCACUAAUGCUGCCCUUUGCCCACUGGGGUGUGGAGGAGAUGGGGCACAGCCUGGGGUUCAGCGUGUGCUGUCCACAGCCAUGCAACUGAGCAGUACAGCUCCCCUCUGCCAGCCUCCAGGAGCUCAUGAGAGAAAGAGGGACCUUACCCCAAAGCCAGGCAGCAUUGGAGUGACCAUGUUACGUCCAGAGGAUCUUUAGUUCUGCCCCCUGUGGUCUCUGUUAUAAGAAAAAACAUUUUCUUCAAUUUCCCAAAUUGAAGAAAUCCCCGAUUUCUGAUAAUUCUUUCUUGCUGGAAUGCUUUCGCAAACUAGUGAAAUUUUUUUUCAUUUUACAUGUCCAUCUGAAUGUGAUGUGCAUGUUUGUAUGUUUGCAUGUGUAGGGGCGCACACAUAUGGGUGCAUGCACACAUGUGUGUGCCUGUGUGUGGAGGCCGGAGGCUGAUGUCAGGAGGCAGGCAUUCUGAUAGCUCUUCCACCUUAAUCAUUGAGGCAGGGCUCUCAGUCAAUCUCAGAGCUCAUAGAUAUGGCUAGUCUCUCAAGCCAGCUUGCUCUGGGUAUGGAUUACUGCCACCUUCCCAGACUAGAAUUACAGAAGCCAUCUUGGCUGCACAGCACUUACUUGUGUUGUAGGGAUCCAAACUCCAGUUCUCAUACUUGAGAGGCAAGCGCUUAACCACUGAGCCAUCCCCCCAGCUCCUCAAACUGGAAAAUUCUUUAUGGAGACUUUGUGUAUCCCCAGACCACCUACCCAGGCAGGACUGCAUCCUGUUGCCCUGUGGUUGUUAUAAUUAAAGGCUAUGAUUAUCCUCCCUCUCCAUGAGAAAAUACAGGUAUGGUAAAGACCCCUUGUCGACCAGCAUCAAAUCCUGGUCAUAGGCUAUGCCUCUCACUGACGUCAUCAUCAUCUCCUGAAACUGUGGCAAAUAUCAGCCCCCAAAACAUAGCCCCAUCCCUGUUAAUUUACAUGUACAUGCUGGAAGGUGUCAUUGAAAACACAUGGUCCCAUCUGUGGUUCUUUGUGAAUGGUACAUCUGUAUUUGCCAUUGUUUGAUUGCUUUGUCCCGAAGCCCUGGUGUAAUGGUAUUAGGAGGUGGAGGAAAGGUAAUGCUGGAGAUUGAACUAAGAUCUCAGUGAGCCAGGCAAAGCCAGCUCUGCUGCCCCAUACUCCCAGCCCAGUAGGUAAGACACGAAAUGCAGAUGAGAACACAGAGAGGAUGCUGCUGCUCCCCAGACAUCGUGUGGAUUCUCUCAGGACUAGUGAGUCUGGCUUCAGAGUCCCUGCUCUCAACACAACGCUGGCUCUAUUGCUUCUUACAGCACGGAGGGUGGGCGUUUCAUUGAUUGGUUUGUCCAGCUAUUUUAAGUCAUACUAAUUUCUUCUCUUGAUCUUCCCUUUGUUUGUCUGUGGUUUUGAACUUGUGUCCACUUGCCAACAGAAGCCUCACAUCUUUGGAUCACAAGAGUCUGUAAGCAGGUAGAAGGCUGGACUCAGGCUCUGUCCCCUGCUUGGUCCAGGUUUUACACUGGGGAAAGGACAAGCCUUCUCCUUCCCCUAAUCUCUGUGUGUAUCCACUGGGCCCAGGCCAGUCCCAAAGAGGGUUAGCUCAGAGGAACUUGCCUCUGCAGAGAAUUAAGGGUGGUCAGCAGGCCCAGUGAUGAACAACGCAGCAAGGCCAUUUCUGAUUCCAAGUAGGGCUGCCUCUGAGGAAGCAAGUCCAACUCCCUGGAGAGCCCAAAGCUCUUUCGAUGCAGAAGGCACAGAGGGAGGUGUUCUGGCAAUCACAAUGACUCAGUGUUUGGGAACCAGAGCAGGGAGCAGGCGGCAGCGUGUGACAAACGGAUGGCACAGCCUGAGUCAGGAGGCCUGUGGGCGGCAGGCUGAGGAAAGGUCACGGAUGAGGUCAGAUGACAGUGGGAGUGUCAGGGGGAGCAGCAGGGUUGAGAGGGGAGCAGCUUUGAGAAGGAAAGAGUAUGGAGCAGCCUGCAGGGAGCCUGACUGGGGAGUGUCUGAGGGGGGCACGCACAUGCCAGUAAAGCAGGCUGAGGACCGAACAAAGCAUGGUUUUCCAGAGGCGGACAUUUCCAAGGGGUUCAUUCCACCUCAGUGGGCCAAGACCUGUGCCAGGGGUGACAAGAAAGCAGCAGCUGGCCAAGGCUACUGUGAAGGAUGCCGCUGAACAGAACGGGCAUAGUCACUCCCCAUUUCUUACGCCCCUAAACCUUCUAGCUUGUCCAGUGGGUAGGAGUCUAGCAGAAGCAAAUGGGGGUGAAGCAGGCUCUUUAACACGGGGCCAGGGGACAGAGCCAGCCAUCAGUCAGGAGCUGGAGCCUGUUGCUGCUGCUUGUUACUCUGCUGAUUUUCAAUUAUCAGAGAGAGAAUAUCCCCAUCACUCCCUGUCAAUCAGCCAGUGCUGUCCCAGCACACAGAAGAGCUCGAACAAACAGGCUGCACAUUGCAAUCGACUCUUCUUGUCCUGAGAGGCUGCGGAGCCCGGACACGGCAGGCACAGGGGACAGUGAUCAAGGGCCAGCUCUCAGUACCUUUCCAGAGUCUAUGCCAAUGUCAUUAAAGCACCAGCAGGGGCUCUUGGGGGUCCAUGCAAGCUGUCUCAGAUUAAACCCCACCCCCAAAAUGGAAGCUCUAGGAUGGGGGAUCAAGCCCAAAUUACUUGUUUGGGAAAAAACAAAAACAAUGCUGUGCACCCUCAGCCGUGUUCCCAACCUCUCUGAGCUCAGUCUCUGACACGUGACAGAAAUUUUCCCUUGAGAGGGUUUGUAAAACUGAAAGGAGGUACCUGGAAAAAAGGCAAGUGCUGAAAGUUUGGGUGCUAUGACAGGUUCCUGUGAGAGUUCAGGGCAGACUGGAAACCCACAGAGAAAGGCCUUCCCUGGGAUUCAUCCUGACCCCCAGGCUCUGAUUUUCAGGCUGUCUCUAGUCCCAGGUCUCUAGCUUCCUGCAGGAAGUCUGUCAGUUCUACCCAAAAGACUGUCCUCCCUGACCUAUAUGUCAUCCAGGUCCCAUGAGGCCCGCUCAAUGGCUAGUGGUGGUGGGGGAGGAGGGAGACAAGCCUUUUGUGUCUGUUGGCCUUUAAGGACCCCACUUGUUUGUUGAUUAGCUGGCUAUUUCACCCCAAACCAGAAGCACCCAGCAGGCAAUGUUGACAAACAGGAGACUACCACAUGUCAAAGACACAGCCUGGGGGAUCUCAGCCUCCAGAAUCCAGCUGGGAUACGUUGAGUCUGACUGUGAGUUCAUCUCUGACAAGCUACCCCAUGGCUACGGGAACUUCAUUGGAUGUCAGACCUAUUGUCUACCUUUUGGGUGUCACCAUGGCAACUGAGUUCCCCAAGAAAAGGGCCUGGGCUGAUGGUUAGUACUCACUGAAGGUGACGUUAAACUGAAAGGAUGGCAGGGUGGAUGGCCUGAAGGGGCCAGAGCAUGAGGGUGCCAGAGGUGUUCAGAGACAUCAGGACCAUCCCGGAAACUGCCUUUCUCAAAGGCUUCAUCUACCCCUCCUCAACAAUACCCAAAAGGGUCACUGCAAUGUGACAGCUAAACUGUCACAGCAAAGUUGACAGUGUCAGGCCAAGCCUCCCAGGACCCCAGUCAGGCCUGACCCCUAACUACACCUGACUAUGGGUACAUUCUUUUAACCUCCAACACUUAGGUUGGCAUGUGCCUGGCACAUCUCACCAAACAAGCUCCAUCUAUCCAUUGAAGAAAUGGAAGACCAGGGGGGCCUUUGACCUUGACCAGGUGGCAUGAGUAGGGUGCCCUACAAGCUGGUGGGAAUGUAUGGUUGACCCACUUUUGCAGUGCUCUGUCCUGGGACACUGACGCAGGCAUGGGGUAGAGGGGAGUCUGGCGGGGCAGAAAAGCUGGAACUCUGGCUGCAUCAGGAACCCGGCCCACUCCUCAAAAACUGCCCCUUCCUCCAUGCAGAGCCUUAUCCGUCGGCCCUCACUCAGGGGCCUUCUUCCACUCCCCACCCCUCUGCACCCCGGACCUGCAGCAAUUGCUCCUCUGCCUCCUCGGGGUCCCUAGACCUGGUCACUGGGCAUGGGGGUCUUGACGAGAGGGGGUGUAGCUAGUGCAGGAAUACCACCCAGGCAGAGGGGCGGCUGGGGAGUGUUUUCUUCAUCUCAACCAACGCCUAUCAAACCUCUGCUCAUUAGGAAACACAACAUGCAUGCCAGGGUGACAUCUUCAUCUGCGUGCCCAGAGACUUCAAAGCCUGCAGGAGAUCUCCUUGGUGGAUUAGACAUGAAAAAUAUUGGGAUGAGAUGGAGAGAAGAAACAGCUGGCUGCUCCAAGGGAGUUAAUUAAGCAGGGGCCAGGGACCAAGCAGGAUGGGAUGGGCACUCAGGGACAGAUAGGGGACUCCCAGGCAGCUUCCCAGCAGGCCAGUGGGCUACCAGUUUACAUGGCCAUAGCUCCUAGGUCAUCUGGUGGCUAGAAACCUCCCACCCUACUAGCCAGGGUCACAGGAGUGAAGCAGGCCUGGCGGAAUAGGAGAGCUUGACUAGGUGAAUCCUCAACCUGAUAGGACCUGACUAGACCUACACUGCAGCCCACAACACAGGUCGAGCCCACAUGGCAAUGUGCAGGGUAGAGAAGGGGACCAGGUAAACCCCAGAGGUGCUGCUGUGCUUAGCAGGUCAGAGGCAGAAUUAGUCACAGCAGGGGCAGGAGGCUGGGUGUAUACUUCAGACAACCAGGGAUGCCAGGGGCGGGGUUGCUAGGGAACAGGCAGAACAGACCGCAGCUUCCAGCACAGGGACACACAGGAGAGCUGGGGGUGGAGACGGCAUCUCCAGCUGUAGGACCAUAAACAUGGCUGUAGAGGACAGGUAUGGGGGAGCAGGAAAUGUAGGGAGAACGCUGAAGUGGACUGUGGUUUACUGGGAUCGAUGGCCACCAGGUGACCUGAUGAGACAAUCAGAGGUUAGCCUUACUCUGCAGCUGAAGCUGAUCUUGAACUUCUGACCCUUCUACCUCUACCUCCACCUUCUGGGGUUAAAGAUCGUUGAAUAAUGAACACUGGUGAAAGCCCAGCAUCAUCCAUAGCAAGCCUGGUCCCCACAAGGAGCUCUGUGGUGGUUUCUCCUGAUGGAGUGGUCCUGGGCAACUGAGAACUUUCUGUUGUCACCCCUUCCUGAAAAGGACAGUGCAUCCCUCACCCAGAGUCUGUGCACUGUAUCCUGGGUCUGUCAUCUUCAUAGCUGCUGUGGAUGGAUGGAUGGAUGGAUGGAUGGAUGGAUGGAUGGAUGGAUGGAUGGUGUAAGAUAUUGGUAAAUUGUUAGAUGUUGUUUAAGCUCACUAAGAACUGUCUCUGGAAGCAUGUUGGUCCCUUCCCACUUCAGGCCCAAACAUGUUUAUGUCACAUGCCCUCUAAGACUGACUGUCAACCUGAUUCCGGCCCUGUCUCUGUAACAAAUAGAGAAGUUAGCAAGCAGCUACAGGUAUUAAAACACUGUGUCUUUGUGACCAGCUAGAUGAUCAACCAUUUCCAUCCAAGGUGUCACUACUGUUUAUCCCAUAGAAUAAAAGUUCCUGUGGUGGAACCCAGAAACUACAAGCUUAGCCACCAAGAGGACCCUCCACCAAGACUCUCAAUCAGGAACUCCAGCUGACUGCUUCGAGUUCCAACUGGAUCUUCUGAGCACCACAUUUUGCUAUCUAUCUGCUGCUCUGUGAUCUUUUACUUUUCCUUGCUGUACAACUGGACGCACUCAUCCCCACUAUCUCACAGCCACUGUGAGUCAUUCUCUACGUGGCACAGAGCAUCUGGAUGGAGGGCUGGAUAUGUGGAUGGAGCCCAGGGAAGGUAGAGCUACAGAGGAGAGUCAUGCUGAUACCCAGACUCAUUUGAGCCAUGGAGCCUACAGUACCUGACCCCUUCCCCUAGCAAUUCCCUAGGCGGCAGAUGGUACCUUCCCUUGGGAAUGUAUAUUUGGGGAGAAAAUAAAACAGAAGAUUGAGAGGAUUCUACAAGAAACAGGGUAGGGGCUGGAGAGAUGGCUACAUGGUCAAGAGCACUUAGUGCUCUUCCAGAACACCCGGGUUCAGUUCCCACUGCCUACAUGGCAGUUUACACCCCUUUGUAACUCCAGUUCCAGGGGAUCUGGUACCUUCUUCCAGCCUCCAUGGCUAUCAGGCACACUUGUGAUGAACACACAUAGAUGCAGGUAAAACACUCAAAAUAAAACAAAAUAAAAUUUAAAUUAAAGAAAAAGAAAUGAGGUGUUUCCCAACCCCAGCGCCUAUGGCAACUGGGCAGUGCCACAGAUCUGGCCCCAUCUCCCAGUGCAAACAUUUCCGUGCAGCCCCCAGCCACCAGUGAGGGGCAGGACUCAGACCUCCUGUCUGCUAGCUGGCAGCUCCAAGAACCCUUAGCUUCCCCGCUUCCUACCCUGUGCCAGCUCCUGCUCAGCCCUGCUGACUGUGCUAGAGGCUGCCUUUCUUUUGUUCAGGCCCAUCGUCUUUCGUAAUUAGAAAAUAAAUUACUUUUUCUCAAAGAAGCAGUCCUAGCGCUAGAGACGUGGAUAAGAGGGAUAAGCGGUAGCAGGCGGCCGCAGUCUGACAGGUACAGAACUGGGGCCCUAUCAGCCUGUCCAGGCGUUGGAGUCCCACAGACAAGAGAGAGGAGUGGGGGGGGGGGCUGGCAGUAGAGGGGGCCCAAAGCAUGGGCACAGAGGCAUACCCUUUGUGUUAGCAGCACUAUCCAGAGACAAGAAAACAAUCCAUACAUCUCUGAGCGAGCUGCUCUGGGCUCCGAUUCGGUGGGAUAAGGGUUUAACCCCUCCCCCCUCAACCCGCACCUCUUGUGUGCACAAAACAGCUUUUGAGAUCAAGGCCCUCACUGAGGCUGCUGUGCCCACUGUGUUCCCACACCUCCUUGUUCAUGUUCAGUGGCCAUGCACUGGCCUUUGCCCUGGCCAUCCCUAACGCCCAGGGGCACCCUCAGCAUUGCUCCAUUUACCCAACCAUUUGUUGACCGCCCUUCCCACUCCGAGCUCUUACAUGCCUCCCUCAUCCAAUUUUUCUCUAAACCUUUUUUUUAAGGAACCCCUCACCUUCCCCAUCUCGGGGAAUAGCACCUCUGUUCAGAUGAACGAGGUUCCUGGAGAGCCAGUGUGAAGUAGGUACCUCCAGGCUGCACAGCUAGCUCCCUGCUCCAAACCCCGGCAGGCAAGCAUCCUGCAUCCAGAGGGACAGCAAGAAGGAGAAGGUGGGAGAGGUUCAAGCUCCUCUAAACAAGGAAAAGCAGGGGUUAUGUCAGCAUCAGGCACAGCCCACACAGUAGAUGUGUGAUGGUCUCCACAGAUGAUGCCAACACCCACGUCCACUUAGAGAGUGUGAGCUGCUUCCCCCACAAGUGUGUUUCUCUCCUAACAAGCCGAGAUUCCCAACUCCACCGCAUAGAUGGCAUAUGCCGACAAAUACCACCAAUGACAUGGGGUGGAGCUGAGCUCUGAGCCCACAGCAAGCAGCCAAGCCCAGGCCUUAAUUCAUAUCCCAAGGAUCCCAUUACUGAUUCAGAUGGUCCCCGCAUGAGUAUGGAGUCACUCUCCUGCGGUCCCAGUGCUCAGAGCUGACAAGAGAUGCAUUGAUCCCAGGUGAUCCAGGCCAGCAGAGACAGCAUAGUAGGAACCCAUCUCAAGAAAACAAAACUCGGGCUAGCGAGAUGGCUCAGUGGUUAAGAGAGCCGGCUGCU